RNAcentral lists this ribosomal RNA (467 nucleotides) under uncultured bacterium. RNAcentral describes it as "partial 16S ribosomal RNA". The stretch from base 20 to 329 matches the Rfam family "Bacterial small subunit ribosomal RNA", at positions 47 to 358 of the family's 1533-position model. The record is from RNAcentral.
GACGAACGCUGGCGGCGUGCUUAACACAUGCAAGUCGAACGGAAAGGCCCUGCUUUUGUGGGGUGCUCGAGUGGCGAACGGGUGAGUAACACGUGAGUAACCUGCCCUUGACUUUGGGAUAACUUCAGGAAACUGGGGCUAAUACCGGAUAGGAGCUCCUGCUGCAUGGUGGGGGUUGGAAAGUUUCGGCGGUUGGGGAUGGACUCGCGGCUUAUCAGCUUGUUGGUGGGGUAGUGGCUUACCAAGGCUUUGACGGGUAGCCGGCCUGGGAGGGUGACCGGCCAAGGGGGGGAGGGGAGGGGGCCGGGAGCGUUAGGGGGGGGAGAGGGGGGGGAAGUUGAACAGGGGGGGAAAGCGUGGAGGGACACGGGCGGGGGGGGGAGGAGGGCCGGGGGGUGGGAACCCGGUUUCGCGUGAGAGGGAGCGGGGGGGAGGGAAAUGGGUAAGGAAGCAGCGGGAAACUAGGG